GAUCAUGAUCAAAGUGGAAAUUGGAACAAUACAGAGAAGAUUAGCAUGACUCAUGUGCAAGUAUAACACGCUGAGAAAUGAUCCCAAAAAAGAAAAU
Molecule: small nuclear RNA, 97 nt
Filed under: Solanum tuberosum (potato)
Lineage: Eukaryota; Viridiplantae; Streptophyta; Magnoliopsida; Solanales; Solanaceae
Source: RNAcentral